This 460-nucleotide ribosomal RNA is filed under the name uncultured bacterium. RNAcentral's name for it is "partial 16S ribosomal RNA". It matches the Rfam family "Bacterial small subunit ribosomal RNA", at positions 338 to 795 of the family's 1533-position model. The record is from RNAcentral.
CCUACGGGUGGCAGCAGUGAGGAAUAUUGGUCAAUGGACGAGAGUCUGAACCAGCCAAGUAGCGUGAAGGAUGACUGCCCUAUGGGUUGUAAACUUCUUUUAUAAAGGAAUAAAACGAGGCACGUGUGCCUUUUUGCAUGGACUUUAUGAAUAAGGAUCGGCUAACUCCGUGACAGCAGCCGCGUUAAUACGGAGGAUCCGACCGUUAUCCGGAUUUAUUGGGUGUAAAGGGAGCGUAGAUGGGUUGUUAAGUCAGUUGUGAAAGUUUGCGGCUCAACCGGAACAUUGCAAUUGAUACUGGCAGUCUUGAGUAAAGUUGAGGUAGGCGGAAUUCGUGGUGUAGCAGUGAAAUGCUUAGAUAUCACGAAGAACCCCGAUUGCGAAGGCAGCUUACUAAACUGUGACUGACAUUGAUGCUCGAAAGUGUGGGUAUCAAACAGGAUUAGAUACCCGUGUAGUC